This is a long non-coding RNA of Equus caballus (horse), 6675 nucleotides long. NCBI's taxonomy places the organism in Eukaryota, Metazoa, Chordata, Mammalia, Perissodactyla, Equidae. The record is from Ensembl.
CUGUUUCAGAGCCUCUGAGGUCUUCAGGAGGGAUCUGCCCUUUCUCCUGCCAAUUGGGUGCCCGCAGCCCAAGGGCAGCCUUGCAGCGCUCAGGCAGGGGCUCGGCGGCCUUGGCAGACCCUGCCCCUGCAGCAAGACUGGAGCUCUGGGCAGCGGAGGGUGGUCUGCUCCUUUCGGGCCUCUUUGCCAGGCACCGGGGUGUGAGCGGCAGAGCUGGGGCACGCUUGGCAUUCUGACCCACCAAGGAUUCCGGCAGAUGCCAAGUCUCUGGUAUCAGGGGAAAUGACCUCAGAGCUUUGGCUGAAGCUGGCAGGCCACUGCCCAGACUUAAAGGUCCCUGGCAGGCACCUGUCACCCAAGUUGGAUGGUCUCUUGUCCUCCCCCUGCCUCAGACCUUCCAGAAGGGAGCAGAAGAUUCUGGGAAAGAAGCCUGGCUUCUAGGAGAGGGUGAGACCUCAGAAUUUCAAAGCCCCUUUUGUGAUUGUUUGGCUCCCAGAAGUCUGAAAACAGUUUUCCUCUUGGACCAGUGGAGGAAAAGGAGACCUGCUGGGUGGGCAUGGGCAGCUUGCGGUGGAGAGGCCUGAGCAAGAGCUCUCGCCAUCAGAGGGCAAUCACCGCCGCCCCGAGGGCGAGACACCGAAGUCACCGAAGUCAGGGUUGCUGUUGGUGCUGGCACACCUUCCAGGGCCCUCACCUCCUGCCUUUCCCUCCCCUGAGAGCAGCGUGGAACAGUUCUGUCACGCCCUCAUUUUACAGCUGAGGAAACUCAGGGUCAGAAAGGUGGUUUGUGACCCAUCCAGAACCAGAACCAAAGCUAGCCGGGGCAGAGCUUGGCCUCAGAUGCGUGUUUUCCAAUUUUUCCACCAUAACCCUGAGCCCUGAGACAGCCAUCAGCCAGUUCCUUUAAAAGAAGUCACACUGUGGGUGUGCUCACUUGUAAAUUCUUUCACAGGGCCAUUUAUGUAUUCAUUCAUUCAUCACCAACAUUUACUAAGCACUUUCUAUGAGCCCAGCUCUUGGCUAAGGCCGAGGAGGACCCAAAGGUGGAGAAGGCCUAGUUUCCACCUCAGGAGGAGAAGAAUUUGGGGAUUAGGGAAAAAGAGGAAUGGGUCCUGAACACACAGCGGAGGCUGAUGACGCUGGGAUGCAAGUAGGGAUAGCCAACCUGUGCCUGGGGAGCUGCCAGGGUCGGGGGGUGUCCAGAUGGGCUUCCUGGGGGAAGAAAGGGCUCUGUUUGGGAGCUGUGAAGACCCUUCUUCUUGAGGGAUGAAUUAGGCAACAGGCCUCAGCUCCCUGUUGGCACCAUGCAGGCUGACGCUGGGGCUCUGAGCAGCGCUGCUGGCGCCCAGAGGCGUGUGAAGAGGAAGCCGUGGGCGCUGCUGCAGUGCACACGUACCCUGCUUGGCUGGAGUGGAAUCUGUUCCAGUCAGCCCAGGAUCGGCUCUGAGGAGCAAAGCAUGGUGGGUCCCUGGUCAGGGCCCCGGGUCAGGCCCCUGGCCGGGGGGCAGUCCAGAAGCCUUUUCUUUCCCUGCAGCCAUGUGUGGGUUCUCUGCCCAAGGCAGAACGGAAGCUGGCUGGUUGCUCCAAAUGCCUGCCCUGCUGGACCGUCUUUAAUGCCCCAGUUUCUUCCUAAAUAACAUUACUUUGUGAAGGAGGCCAGGAAGCAGUGCAUGUACGUAUGUGUGUGUGUGCGCGCACCAAGAAGAGCAGGGGCAGACCCACCUCUCCCUUCGAAGAUAGUCCUUCCAAUGACUGCCUCUAACUCAGCAGACCCUCAGGAGGGACCGUGCGGCCAAACGCAGAGAACGCCGUGGAGGUCAGGCCACCUCUGGGCAAGGCUGGCCCUGCUGCUUACCACCUUUGGGGAUUUGGGGAAAGUCACAUCUCUCUGAAGUUCAUUUUCCUCCUCUGUAAAAUGGGGAUACAGUCAUGUCUGCCUCAUGGGAAGAGGUGUGAGUUUUUCAUGAGAUAAUGUCCAUUAAGUGACUGGCACACAGUAGGUCCUCACAAAUGGCAGCAAUUACCUGGCCAGGUAGAUCACACAUUUGAGCACUCAGGAAACGUCUGAAGAAUGAACCAAACAUUUUUCCUUUUUCUUUGCUUUCUCCGAAUAUUUGUUCUUUUCCUAAAAAGCUAAUUGGGAUCGGGAAGCUCUGAUGCUUGGAAACAAGCAAGGAGGCCAGACUGGGGGCAGGGAGCGUGGCUGCUGUGUCCUCGGGGGGCUUGAUCUGCCCAAGCUAAGCGCAAGGCCUGAGUGCGCAGCUGGGCCUGGAAUCCCGGGACAGCUCUCCAGGGGUCCUGGGCUAGUGGGCUUUUCAGUUACUUGCCCUUUCUGAUAGCAGCAUAUCUCAUUUAAAAAACAACUUUAUUCUGUUUUUAUUAUAAAAGUAGUUAGGUUCAUUAAAAUGAAAGCUUAUAUUGGGCUCAUGGUAUAACAGGCACUGUUCUAACACGUCUUAAUUUAUUGAAUCUGCACAAUAAUUUUACAAGGUAUCAUGAUUUUCCCUAUUUUGUGGAUAAAUAAAUCGUGACACAGAGAGGGGAAGUAACUUUCCCAGAGCCACUCAGCUAAGAAGGAACAGAGCUAGCUGGCUCCAGAGUCCCCGCUCUUACCCACGAUGCUAUCAUGCCUUACUGUGCACGUGUGUGAAAAUGCAGGUAAGUAAAAGUAAGUUAAAAAUAACUAAUAUUCUUAAUAUCCAGGCAUUCUUUCCGUUAUUGCUAACCGUAUAGUGAGGAGUUACACAACGAGUGAAGCCAGGCAAACACAUUCAAAUGCUGGCUUCACUGUUUAUGGGCAGCACGACGUUAGCUUAGAAAGCAGGGAAAAAUACUUUCAUAACCUUCGGGAUGGGGAAGAUGUUUCUUAGCAUUGAUCCCGAAGACAGAAAACAAAGGGAAAAAUGGACAGAGGUUACAUAUGACAGUUAAGAAUGUCUGUGUGACAUGGAGCACAAAACAACAUGUAAAAUCCAAUGUCAACAAAAAUAAUAGUUGCUUCAUAUUUGAUAGAAACACAGUUACUGUCUUUACUGUAUAUGCACAACUCUUUGAAAAUUAGUAAGAAGUUGACCUCACUAAGAAUGGGAGAUUCUACGAAAGAGCUACAGAUGACCAGUAAAUGUAUGUUCAACCUUACUAUGGUCAAAGAAAUGAUCAUUAAAAUGAUGAAAAGUUAUUUUCAUACAUCAGAUUCAGCAAGGAUUCAAAAGACGGACAAGAGGCGGUGUUGGCGAGGGUUGGGGGGAGAAGAUGCUCGCCUAGAUUGCGGCGGGAUAAAGGCCCACAGCCUGUCUGCAGACAAGUUGAUCACAUGUAUCCAAAUCCUUAUCCACAUGUGCAGCUUUUGACUUAAUAUUUUAAUGCUAAAUAAUUUAUUCUAAAGAAAAAAUGUCAAAUGGAAAAGAUGUAUGUGCUAGAAUAUGCGCUGGGACAUUUUUAAUAAAAGCAAAAGUUGAAAACAACUUAAAUGCCCUUUAAAAGGUGAUUUAUUAUGAAAAAUACUGUAAAGCUACGGAGCAGAUUAUUAUACAACUGCUGAAGAGGAUAAGGUGGAGUUAUAUAUGCUGAUAAGGGAAAACGUCUAGGAUAAACUGGAAACGCAAAUUGCAGUAUGUGGUCUUCUUUCGGAGUAAGAGGGUCUCCCAGCUGAGCCCUGCCUGGAUUUUGAUUUUGACUCUUCAUUCAGCUGGUUUUCUGGUAUUCGCAGAAGUUGAAGUGACUGGCAUGCCAUCUGGUAAAUACGAGAGAGAGGUCCCUUUGGAAACGCCGAGAAAGAGUCGGGGAGGCAGAGGCUUUGAGACAAGGCUCACGUCCCAGCCUGUGUAAGUAAAGGGCAGCAGCAAAGAUUUGGGGUGUUUUUGCGCAUCUAUAACUGUAUUUAUAGGCUUAUUGAAGAUUGGUAUGUAGAAGCUACAUUCAUUAAAAAGUAAAUACAUUGAACAUAAACAUAGAAAACGUACAACUUGACGAAUUUCCACAAAGUGAGCACGCUCAUGUAACAGCCAUUCAGAUAGAUUACUAGAAGAGGCGCCCGAAGCCCCUCUCACGCCCCCCUCAGCCACUCUGCUCUCCUCUGAGAGGACCACUCCUCUGACUUCUAAUAUCAGAAAUGAAUUUGACCUGUGUUUGAACUGUACAUCAACGGAACCAUAAAGUAUGCACCCUUCUAUGUUUAGUUUCUCUCACUCAACAUUGUGAGAUCCAUCUGGGUGAACUAGUGGUUUCUUCGUGCUUGUUUCUGUAUAGCAUUCUUUUUCGUCUUCUCUCUCCUCUCCUUGAUAACUGUUGCGCUGGCUAAGACUUCUACUACAAGGUUAAACAGGAGUGGUGAGAAUAGGCAUCUUUGUUCUGAUCUCUGUAGACUGCUUUUAAUAUUUCACCAUUAAGUACAAUAUUUGCUGUAGAAUUUUAAAAUUUGAGGUGAAAUUCACGUAACAUAAAAUUAACUACUUUCAAGUGAACAAUUUAGUGACAUUUUGUAAUUCACCACCACCUCUAUGUAGCUCCAAAACAUUUCUAUUAGUCCAAAAUAAAACCCGGUACCCACUAAGCAAUUACUCCCCGUUCCCCCAAAACCCCCACCUCUGGCAACCACCACUCUACAUUCUGUCUCUAAAUCUAUGGGUUUAUCUGUCCUGAAUAUUUCAUAUAAAUGAAAUCACAAAAUAUGUUAUCUUUUGUGUUUGACUUCUUUCACUUAGCAAGACAUUUUCAAGAUUGGCCCAUGUUGUAGCGUCUAUUGGUACUUCAUUCCUUUUUAUGCUGGAAUAAUAUUCCAUUAUGUGCUAUACCACAAUUAAUUUUUCCAGUCCUCUGUUGAUAGACGUUUGAGUUGUUUUCAUCUUUUUGGCCACUGUGAAUAGUGCUGCAAUGAGCGUUCAGGUAUGAGGAUGUGUUUGGGUACUAUUUUCGAGUUUUUGGGGUAUGUACACAGCAGUGGAGUUACUGGGCCAUCGGGCAAUUCUAUGUUUAACCACCAAACAGUCUUUUCUUAUUUUUUGAGGAAUCAUCAACCUGUUUUCUGCAGCAGCUGAAACAUUUUACAUUCCCCCCAGCAGUGUAUUCCAGUUUCUCCACAUCCUCAUCAACACUUGUUAUUUUCCACAUUUUUGGUUAUAGGCAUACUCUUGGGUGUGAAGUGUGCUGUAGAUUUUUUUUAACAUAUUCUUUAUCAGAUUAAGAGUUCCCCUCUGUCAUGACAUCACUUCGUAACAUUCUUGACAAAACUGUAUAACCUCAAUCUAAUCACGGGAAAAUAUCAGACAAACGCACGUUGAGGGACGUUUUACAAAAUGAACUACUCUUCGAAAGUGUGAAGGUCAUGGAAGACAGAGACAGGCUGAGGCACGGUCUCAGAGUGGAGAAGAGUAAGCAGACAUGACAAGUAAAUGCAGGGCGGGUCCUGGCUUGGAUCCUGGAUCAGAAGAGGACGUGAAUGAGAAAACUAGCAAGAUUUGAAUAAUGUCUAUAAACCAGUUAAUCAUACAUGUCAAUGUUAAUAUCCUGGUUUCGAUAAUUACACUAUGGGGAUGUAAGAUGGUAAGAUUGGGGGAAGUUGUGUUCAGAGAAUACAGGAACUUCCUGCACUCUUUUUGCAACUUUUCUGUAAGUCUAAAAUAAUUUUUUUAAGAAAAAAGAAAAAAUGUUUCCUUCUAUUCCUAAUCUGCUAUGUGUUUAUUGUGAAUGGGACUGAAUUCUAGCAAGUGCUUUUUCUAUAUAUAUCUAUGUUUUGUGUGAUUUCCUCCUUUGUUUUACUAAUACACUGAGUGAUAGUGACAGAUUUUUAACUGUUGGCCUGACCCUUUGCUCCUGGAAUAACCUCACUUGGUCUUGGUCUGUUACCCUUUUUAUAUGUUGCUAGAUUAGAUUUGCUAUUUUCUUGUUUUAGAUUUUUUUUGCCCAUCUAUGUUUCUGAGAAAGAUUGGUGGAUAAUUUUCCUUUGUUGUAACGUCCCUGUCAGAUUUUGGGAUUAAUUUUAUGUGAUCUCAUAACACAUGUUGGGCAAUGUUCCUUCACUUAUUUUCCAAAAGAGUUUUUGUAUGCCUGGUGUUAUUUCUUCUUUACAUGCUUGGUAUAUCACCGAGGAAGCCAUGUGGGUCUGGAAUUGUCACUGUAGGAAGGGUUUUAACUACACAUUUGAAUUCUUUGCUCUUUUUUGGUGAGGAACAUUGUCCCUGAGCUAACAUCUGUGCCCAUCUUCCUCCACUUUGUAUGUGGGAUGCCACCACAACAUGGCUUGAUGAGCGGUGAGUAUGUCCGUGCCCAGGAUCUGAACCCAUGGACCCAGGGCAGCUGAAGAAGAGUGCGCAAACUUAACCACUACACCACCAGUGUGGAAUCAGGUCUCACCCCCAAGGAUCUGGAGCCGAGCCCAGUACCGGAGGGGUGUCAGGCUGAGCUGACUGAGGAUGCUGGCACGUCUGAGAUCAGCAGAUGCUGGGACGGAGGACCCCCCACCUGCUAGGAGCGUGAGGCAUCAGGGGCCCAGCCAAACACCACAUUGUUGUGGAAAAGCACUGAACAGCGUCUGCAACGCGAUUAGCUGGUUAGCUCCCCGGGAUCCUCUUUCGUUUGUCUUACGGAGCCCAAUCGUGUGGUUCGGAUGUGCUGGACGCUCCGGCUCCAAUAAAGACAUCAGUGACUGUGAAUAAAUGAACGUUUGCAUUUCCAAGU